Molecule: ribosomal RNA, 441 nt
Filed under: Clostridioides sp. ZZV14-6387
Lineage: Bacteria; Bacillati; Bacillota; Clostridia; Peptostreptococcales; Peptostreptococcaceae
Description: bacterial SSU rRNA
Rfam family: Bacterial small subunit ribosomal RNA
Source: RNAcentral
CCUACGGGAGGCAGCAGUGGGGAAUAUUGCACAAUGGGGGAAACCCUGAUGCAGCGACGCCGCGUGGAGGAAGAAGGUCUUCGGAUUGUAAACUCCUGUUGUUGGGGAAGAUAAUGACGGUACCCAACAAGGAAGUGACGGCUAACUACGUGCCAGCAGCCGCGGUAAAACGUAGGUCACAAGCGUUGUCCGGAAUUACUGGGUGUAAAGGGAGCGCAGGCGGGAAGACAAGUUGGAAGUGAAAUCUAUGGGCUCAACCCAUAAACUGCUUUCAAAACUGUUUUUCUUGAGUAGUGCAGAGGUAGGCGGAAUUCCCGGUGUAGCGGUGGAAUGCGUAGAUAUCGGGAGGAACACCAGUGGCGAAGGCGGCCUACUGGGCACCAACUGACGCUGAGGCUCGAAAGUGUGGGUAGCAAACAGGAUUAGAUACCCCUAGUAGUC